This 303-nucleotide ribosomal RNA is filed under the name uncultured bacterium. RNAcentral's name for it is "bacterial SSU rRNA". It matches the Rfam family "Bacterial small subunit ribosomal RNA", at positions 335 to 649 of the family's 1533-position model. The record is from RNAcentral.
ACUCCUACGGGAGGCAGCAGUGGGGAAUCUUGGACAAUGGGGGAAACCCUGAUCCAGCCAUGCCGCGUGAGUGAUGAAGGCCCUAGGGUCGUAAAGCUCUUUCGCCUGUGAAGAUAAUGACUGUAGCGGGUUAAAAGAAAACCCCGGGCCUUAACUCCGUGCCAGCAGCCGCGGUAAUACGGAGGGGGUUAGCGUUGUUCGGAAUUACUGGGCGUAAAGCGCGCGUAGGCGGACUGGAAAGUUGGGGGUGAAAUCCCAGGGCUCAACCCUGGAACUGCCUCCAAAACUAUCAGUCUAGAGUUC